Rhinichthys klamathensis goyatoka is the source of this 575-nucleotide long non-coding RNA. RefSeq lists it as uncharacterized. The transcript has 4 exons. NCBI's taxonomy places the organism in Eukaryota, Metazoa, Chordata, Actinopteri, Cypriniformes, Leuciscidae. The record is from RefSeq and is a predicted model, not a curated record.
GAGUACUACAGGUUUUAUCUUUUCAGGCUCAACAGCUGUGACACCAGGCGAACUUUCAAAGAUGCCGCGGAGAGGAAAGAGAUCACAGGCUCAAAAAAUUCGUUGGAGGAAGUUCGACCUGGAGGAUGAACAGACCAGACCCUCCAGGAUUAACCAGUUGCAGGAAGAAUUGGGAGACCAUAGCAGUCCUGUCUGUGUGCAAUAUACCUUCUAAAGCUAAGUGUUAAAAGAUUUUGCUUCAGUCUGUGUACUACUGCUUUUCAUAACUGCGUUUGAAUGGAAAUGUUAUAUUUGAAUCUCUAAUUUUGAUUUUUAUGUUUUUUAGGAACCAGCCAAAUGAAGUGAGAUUGUCUGAGAAGAUCACGUGUGCUACAUCAAUGACGAUGACGAGCUGGAUACCAGAUUAUGUGCCAAUUUCUUUCCAGAACAGGUCCAAAUAUCUAUGGCAUUGAAGACAACUCUGAAGAAUGAAGAAGCAGAGGAAGAAGCACACUGAGGUCAAUACUACUGAUAAGGUGUAGUAUUUCAGUGCAUUUUAUUAUACAAUGGUUUCAGGCGUUUUCCCUGGUCAAAAA